RNAcentral lists this long non-coding RNA (1117 nucleotides) under Coccomyxa subellipsoidea. RNAcentral's name for it is "long non-coding RNA (CSUB_LNC000199)". The record is from RNAcentral. Lineage: Eukaryota; Viridiplantae; Chlorophyta; Trebouxiophyceae; Coccomyxaceae.
GGGCUGAUGUCCGAUUUGUGUAUCGCAAGCACACGCCUUUCGUACCAAAAGGUAAUAUAGCCAUCGCCAGCUUCUUGAGCUCCCGCUUCUUGACUCGGAGCGCAGCGGAGUGCGGGCAUUGCUACUCGUUUCUGUUGGCUAUUUUGGGCCUCGCUGAGUUAGCCGAAUUCCUUCAGCUAUUUCUCAGUCAUUGGCUUGGGAUUGUGCGGUAUCACGAACAGUGACGGAGCGAUUUGGAGGUCCGGAGCAACGCACUUUGUCGGCGUAAUCGUGAUGAAGUGAGGAUUGUUUUAGGUAGCUGGAUCGACCGUGGGCGCCAAGGGAGUAAAGGAGGUGCAACACCAGUGUUGAUGUUCGGCAACGGGUGCGUCGUCUGUGCUGAUAUGUAUCGGCCAAGUCCUGAGACGUACAAUUAGGAUCCUGUUAAGGGAUCCUCUAUGUGUUGUCAGGCUCUGCUCGGUAGCGUCAUAUUUGAUUGUUGGCGUAUCACUUCUCCGUAUUUAUUCUUUUCGAGCCUAUUGUUGGUGUAUCACUUCUCCGUAUUUAUUCUUCUCGAGCCUUCCCUCCUUUCGAGCAAUAGUACAUGUCAUCAAUGGGACGUACCAGAGCAACUCUGCGCAGGGCUGAUGUCUACUGCUGUGUCCUCCCCAGGAAUGAUAAAAACCUGGACACAAAGAUCAACGGCAAGGUGGCGAGUCACAACUUUUCGGAGAGUGUCCUGGGCUCAGGCAUGGGCAUGCCAGGCGCAGGUACAUGUCAUGGCCCAAUACAGAAUUUCUUUGGCAAUCCUCAACAGCGUUGCAGGAUAUUUUUUGCAUCCUGCUGGACAAUAGUGAUCUGUAACAGAGAGUUAUUACGCGGAUAGAGGCUCCAGCAUUUCAGUGCAUAUCGUUUUGCAAGAGAAACCCUUUCGCAAGACAGAUGUGAUUGCAGUUGUCCACACAUAGAGACAGGGAAUUGACUAUUCUGCCUUCACACGUGAUCUGAUGGGAACCAGGAAUUGACAUUGUAUUGAAGUCUUGACGGACUUUUAGCACUUGUUGCCUUUGUCAGAGCUAUUGUCAUCAGUACACUGGCGUGUGUUUGCAGGCACUGGCCUUGAGAAUCAAUUUACAGG